RNAcentral lists this unclassified non-coding RNA (407 nucleotides) under Melitaea cinxia (Glanville fritillary). RNAcentral's name for it is "misc RNA ENSMCXG00005014680.1". The record is from RNAcentral. Lineage: Eukaryota; Metazoa; Arthropoda; Insecta; Lepidoptera; Nymphalidae.
CUAUUUUUAACCGACUUCCAAAAAAAGGAGGAGGUUCUCAAAUCGACUGUAUUUUUUUUAUGUAUGUUACUUCAGAACUUUUGACCGGGUGGACCGAUUUCGACAAAUUUUUUUUAAUCGAAAGGUGGUGUGUGUCAAUUGGUCCCAUUUAAAUUUAUUUGAGAUCUAACAACUACUUUUCGAGUUAUAUCUAAUAAUGCGUUUUUACUUGACGCUUUUUUCGUCGACCUACGUUGUAUUAUACCGCAUAACUUUCUACUGGAUAUACCGAUUUUGAUAAUUCUUUUUUUUGUUGGAAAGGGGAUAUCCCUAGUUUGGUACCACGAUAAGGAAACCAGGAUCUGAUGAUGGUAUCCCAGAGAAAUCGAGGGAAACUCUUGAAAAUCCGCAAUAACUUUUUACUGGGU